UUGGGAGAGUUCACGUAUCAUCUAUUAUGCAGAUAAUUAGAAACAUAUGAAGAAACACUACUAGAAAAGCUUCUCACGCGGUGACAUUUUUAUAAUUAAUGAAAUUAUUAUUAUUAUCUACGUCGUAGAAUCUAAGACGAUUCCUUAUAACCAACAUGGAACGACGACAACGACGGUCUUGUUGAUGACCGUCUUUGUUGACUGAAUAUUUACAAAAGCCCUAGCUACUGAAAGGCGCCCGAAAAGCUUCAAUCUUGCCUCUCGGCCUGUGUCUCGCGACUCGCCGUCCGUCGUGCGUCUCUAGUUCGCGUGCGACCAGCAGUCAUCCCUCUCUAGUUCGACGUGGUGUGGCUGGGUUUUUUUGGUGGCCUGAGUUCGGGCGCUACCAGGAGUCAUCCCUUGCCUCCGUAUUCACACAGCUCAAUACUUAGCGAGGACGAAAAGGCUGUAGAAAGUGCUUACUUUAAGGUAUAAUUGCUUCUGAAGGAGACUUUUAUUCAGUGGUUCCCAUAUCAUGAUUGGGCUUUUAUUCAAUUGUACCAGUGUUAAACCGUGUACCGUCUGUUAUAGAUAGGAUAAAAGUACUUCCUGCUUCACUUAAGCUACAGUCGUCUAUUCAUCUCCAGCGUUAGUGCAAACAAACCUUUCAUUAGUAGCAUCUUUGGAGGUAUGUAUGUCAUUCUAACACUUUUGUCGUUAAUUAUUAUAUUUUUGCCCCUCAUGUAACUAUUGUUUAGUAUUAUAUUCUACUUCAUUGAGCGAGCCAUAGUUUUCCGUUUGAGAUUCAAUACAACGAUUAAUAUGGAGAGUUUGGAUUAAUUGUUGUAUUGAAUCUUGAAUUGUCCGUUUGGACAAUUUGGGAAGACUAAUUAUUUUUACUUCAUUUUCACUUAUAAGUUAAGUAUGUUGUGUUAUUUUUGACUAAAUUUUCGGCACUGCAUCUUGCUUUGUUCUCCGGGUCCAUACAUGAUCGGGGUGAAUUGAUGUCACCGCUUUCAUGUCGUAUACUUGGAGACCAAAGCGAAAUGCUGUCGAAAUUUUGUCAAAUUACACCAAAGAUGGAUCGAAGUUGGAUGAAAAGACCAUGCAUAACUCAAGAGUACGAGAAUGAGGUUGAAGAUUUACUUCUGUCCAUGUGUUAAAUGUUUGAAUGGGCGACGACAAUCUUUGGAUGACAUUAGAACACAUCUUAUAUGUCAUGGUAUCUGUCCUAUUUAUACAAAAUUGAUAUGGCAUGGUGAGUUACCACAAAUGUCGUCAACCCCUCCGACUGGUCCAGUUGACGAAGAAGUCGGUGAUCGUAUAGAAGACAUGCUACGUGAUCUUGGACAAGAGGGUUUUAGGCAAGCACAUGCACCUUAUUAUGAAAAGUUAGAUAAUGAUUCUAAGAAACCAUAGUAUAUGGGAUGCACCAAGUACACAAGGUUAUCGGUGGUGUUAGCUUGGUGAAUUUGAAAGCAAGAUUUGGAUGGAGUGACAAAAACUUCAACGAAUUACUUUUGUUAUUGAAGAAUAUACUUCCUGUAGAUAACAAGUUACCAAAGAAUCAUUACGAGGCAAAGAUAUUAUGCCAUAUUGGUAUGGAAUACCAAAAAAUACAUGCUUGCCCUAAUGAUUGUAUUUUGUAUAGACAUGAGUUUGCUGAAUUGCGCAACUGUCCUACAUGUGGGGUGUCACACUACAAAGUGAAUUCUGACGAAUGCAGUCAAGAUGCAAGCACAUACAAAGAUCGUCCAUCAAAAGUGUGUUGGUAUCUUCCAGUCAUACCAAGGUUUAAGCGAUUGUUUGCUAAUGCAUGAGACGCAAAAAAUCUAACAUGGCAUGCUGAUGGCAGGAUCAAAAGAUGGAUUGCUCCGUCAUCCUGUUGAGUCUCCUCAAUGGAAGACAAUUGAUUAGUUGUAUUCGGAAUUUGGACAAGAUCCCCGAAGUCUAAGGGUUGGUCUCGCUUCCGAUGGAAUGAAUCCGUAUGGAAACUUGAGCUGCAACCAUAGUUUGUGGCCUGUUUUGUUGAUCAUUUACAACCUUCCUCCUUAGUUGUGCAUCCAGUGGAAGUACAUAAUGAUAUGUAUGAUGAUUGACGAUCCAAGACAGUUAGGAAAUGACAUUGAUGUCUAUCUUGCUCCCUUAAUUGAAGACCUCAGAAAAUUGUGAGUAGAAGGGAUUGAUGUGUAUGAUGGGAAUACUCAGGAUACCUUCAGGUUGCAUGCCUUGAUAUUUUGCACCAUUAAUGACUUCCCAGCAUAUGGGAAUUUGAGUGGAUAUAGUGUCAAAGGCCAUCACGCAUGUCCAAUAUGUGAGAAAGAUACAAGUUACAUCCAAUUAAAGCAUGACAAAAAGAUCGUGGAUACAAGACAUCGAAGAUUCUUGAAACCUUUUCACCCAUAUAGGCGAAUGAAGAAAGCAUUUAAUGGGACAUCUGAGAUUGACAGUUCACCAAUUCCUUUGUCAGGUCUUGACGUUUUUGAUUGGGUGAAGAAUAUCAGCAGUAUGUAUGGGAAGACACAAAAAAAGGAUGGCUCCCACAACAACAUUUGGAAGAAAAGGUCUAUCUUUUUUGAUCUGCCUUACUGGUGCGAUUUACAUGUGAGACAUUGUUUAGAUGUUAUGCAUGUUGAAAAAAAUGUCUGUGAUAGUUUGGUUGGCACGCUGCUUAACAUUAAAGGCAAGACAAAAGAUGGUUUGAAAUGUUGUCAAGAUCUAGUAGAAAUGGGCAUACGACAACAGUUGCAUCCAGUGUCAAAAGGUCUUCGAACAUAUUUGCUAUUAGAAUGUCAUACGAUGUCAAUGACUUAGAAUUUUUUUUUCAUUGUCUUAGAAAUGUAAAAGUCUCACAAGGAUACUCUUCAAACAUCAAGAGUCUUGUAUCUGUGACUGAUAUAAAAUUGGUUGGGUUGAAGUCCCAUGAUUGUCACGUUUUAAUACAACAAUUAUUGUCUGUAGCCAUUCGGGGUAUAUUGCCUGACAAAGUUAGGGUUGCAAUAACUCGAUUGUGUUUUUUCUUCAAUGCGAUCUGCAAGAAAGUAAUCGACCCCAAAUAGUUGGAUGAUUUGGAAAAUGAGACUUCCAUUAUCAUUUGUUAGUUGGAGAUGUAUUUUCUAUCAACAUUUUUUGACAUUAUGAUUCGCUUAGUUGUCCACCUUGUACGAGAAAUACGGUUGUUCGGGCCUGUAUAUCUUCGUGGAUGUAUCCGGUUGAGCGUUAUAUGAAGGUGUUAAAAAGUUAUACGAAGAAUCAAUAUUGGCCGAAAGCAAGCAUGGUUGAAAGGUACGUCGCCGAAGAAGCUAUUGAGUUUUGUUCUGAGUACAUUGAAAAUGAUGCACCUGUUGGACUUCCUAAAACCCGCCAUGAGUCUACACAGCAAGUUAGAGGCACACGAGGAUUCAAUGUUGUAAUCGUGGAUUGCCAGCAGGUCUCACAAGCGCAUCUAUAUGUACUAAGCAACACUGCUGAGGUAAUACCAUACAUAGAUGCUCACAAAGAAUAUGUCGCAGCUUGUCACCAAAACAUGAAUAUGAUGCGGGUGUUGCAGGAGCACAAUAGGAGUUUCAUUAAUUGGUUUAGAAAGACAAUAUUUGCUAAUGGUAGUUGUUCUAAGACAUUAUCAUUGUACAAUAGGAGUUGGCCCAAAUCUAAAUGUCUUCACUUGGAAAGGUUAUGAUAUCAACAAUUAUUCCUUCUACACAAAGUCAAAGGAUGAUAAAAGUAUCGUACAAAACAAUGGAGUGUCAAUUGAUGCUCAUUCGGACCACUUUAGUAGUGCAUUAGAUAACCAUCAUAUUUGAGCGUCCAUGUCGUAUUAUGGAGUCAUUAAGGAUAUCUGGGAGCUUGAUUAUGGUGAAUUUAGAGUGCCCGUUUUCAGGUGCGACUGGGUUAAUGGAAAUGCUGGUGUACGACAAGACAAAAUGGGGUUUACUUUGGUUGACCUUCAAUGGGUUUACAUGUGAAAGUAUUAUUUAAAUGUUAGCUUAAAUAAUACUUUCACAUGUAAGUAUUAUUUAUAAUGUUAUCUUAAAUAAUGCUUUCAACAAUGCUGGUAUUACAACAUUGAAUCCCCGUGUGCCUCUACCUUGCCGUGUAGACUCAUGGCGGGUUUCAAGAAGUCCAACAGGUGCAACAUUUUCAAUGUACUUAGAACAAAACUCAAUAGCUUCUUCGGCGACGUACCUUUCAACAAUGCUUGUUUCUGGCCGAUAUUGAUUCUUCGUAUAACUUUUCAACACCUUCAUGUAACGCUUAACUGGAUACAUCCAUCGAAGAUAUACAGGCCUGCACAAUCGCAUUUCUCGUACAAGGUCGACAACUAAGUGAAUCAUAAUGUCAAAAAAUGUUGGUGGAAAAUACAUCUCCAAUUGACAAAUGAUAAUAGAAGCCUUAUUUUCCUAAUCAUCCAACUGUUUGGGGUCGAUUACUUUCUUGCAGAUCGCAUUGAAGAAAAAACAUAAUCGAGUUAUUGUAACCCUAACUUUGUCAGGCAAUAUACUUCGAAUGGCUACAGGUAAUAAUUGUUGCAUUAAAACGUGACAAUCAUGGAACUUCAACCCAACCAAUUUUAUAUCAGUCACAGAUACAAGACUCUUGAUAUUUGAAGAGUAUUCUUGUGGGACUUUUACAUUUCUAAGACAAUGACAAAAAUUUCUUUUCUAAGCAUUGAUAUCGUAUGACAUGCUAAGGGCAAAUACGUUCGAAGACCUUUUGACACUGGAUGCAACUGUUGUCGUAUGCCCAUUUCUACUAAAUCUUGACGACAUUUCAAACCAUCUUUUAUCUUGCCUUUAAUGUUAAGCAGCGUGCCAACCAAACUAUCACAUACAUUUUUUCUCAACAUGCAUAACAUCUAAACAAUGUCUUACAUGUAAAUCGCACCGGUAAGGCAGAUCAAAGAAGAUAGACUUUUUCUUCCAAAUGUUGUUGUGGGAGCCAUCCUUUUUUGUAUUUUCCCAUACAUACUGCUGAUGUUCUUCACCCGAUCAAAAACUUCAAGACCUGACAAAGGAAUCGGUGCACUGUCAAUCUUAGAUGUCCCAUUAAAUGUUUUCUUCAUUUGGCUAUAUGGGUGAAAAGGUUUCAAAAAUCUUCGAUGUCUUGUAUACACGGUCUUCUUGCCAUGCUUUAAUUGGAUGUAACUUGUAUCUUUCUCACAUAUCAGACAUGCGUGGUGGCCUUUGACACUAUAUCCACUCAAAUUCCCAUGUGCUGGGAAGUCAUUAAUGGUGCAAAAUAUCAAGGCACGCAACCUGAAGGUAUCCUGAGCAUUCCCAUCAUACACAUCAACCCCUUCUACCCACAAUUUUCUGAGGUCUUUAAUCAAGGGAGCAAGAUAGACAUCAAUGUCAUUUCCUGGUUGUUUUGGAUCGACAAUCAUCAUACAUAUCAUUAUGUACUUCCGCUUGAUGCACAACCAAGGAGGAAGGUUGUAAAUGAUCAACAAAAUAGGCCACGAACUAUGAUUGCAACUCAAGUUUCCAUACGGAUUCAUUCCAUCGGAAGCGAGACCAAUCCUUAGGUUUCGAUGAUCUUGUCCAAAUUCCGAAUAUAAUUGAUCAAUUGUCUUCCAUUGAGGAGAAUCAGCAGGAUGACGGAGCAAUCCAUCUUUGAUGCUGUCAUCAGCAUGCCAUGUUAGGUUUUUUGCGUCUUCUACAUUAGCAAACAAUCACUUAAACUUUGGUAUGACUGGAAGAUACCAACACACUUUUGAUGGACGAUCUUUGUAUGCGCUUGCAUCUUGACUGCAUUCGUCAGAAUUCACUUUGUAGUGUGACACCCCACAUGUAGGGCAGUUGCACAAUUCAGCAAACUCAUGUCUAUAAAUGCAGGAAGAUAAGGGCUCAUUAAGGCAUUAUCCAUUAGUAUCAAGGCUUCUUGCAUCACCUAACGGCUUGCCAUAAUGUCGAACUGCACUUAACAAAUUAUAGAGAUGGCCAGUCUCAUGACUCAACAAUGGAUUUAUGGUAUAUAGCAAACAUUAAGGAUGCAAGACACAUGUAAGCAUUAUUAGUAAGUCUCAUUUGAUCGUACAUAAGAAAAUACAAAAUAAUAAUUUAAGCAUGCUAAACAAAAGUACUAAUAAGUAAUCACACAAAGUGCACAUCAGAAUAUGAUAAGCACAUAACACACUGCCGAAAGGUUCGACUUGCUCUGAUACCACUAAAUGUGACACCCUUUACCCUAUACAUAUAUGUACCAAUAAUAAAAGAAAUAAGAAAUCAAACUUAAUUAAAAGUUUUUAAAACAAAUUUAAAUACAAGCCUUUCAAGAGGGUAGAAGGCUCACAUUCACAUUUCUAACACCAUAAUAAAACUUGUUCAAAUAAUUAAUAUAUUAUUUCGGCUCAAAACAAGGUUGUCCAAGACCUCGUACAAUUAAUAUAGCAACUUAUACCCUAAUGUCACAUCCUAUCCGAGCAUUAUUUUCCGACGUCCUUCAACACAAGGUUCCUUAAAGAAAUUCACCUAGUCAUCUGCUCUCCCGAAU
Molecule: long non-coding RNA, 6471 nt
Organism: Glycine soja
Lineage: Eukaryota; Viridiplantae; Streptophyta; Magnoliopsida; Fabales; Fabaceae
Exons: 4
Source: RefSeq, a predicted model, not a curated record